CCUACGGGAGGCUGCAGUAGGGAAUUUCCCACAAUGGGCGAAAGCCUGAUGGAGCAACGCCGCGUGGGUGAAGAAGGUCUUCGGAUCGUAAAACCCUGUUGGUAGAGAAGAAAGUGCGUGAGAGUAACGGUUCACGUGUCGACGGUAUCUAACCAGAAAGCCAGGGCUAACGACGGGCCAGCAGCCGCGGUAAUACGUAGGUGGCAAGCGUUAUCCGGAUUUAGUGGGCGUAAAGAGAACGCAGGCGGUCUUUUAAGUCUGAUGUGAAAGCCUUCGGCUUAACCGGAGUAGUGCCUUUGACACUGGGAGACUUGAGUGCAGACGAGGCGAGUGCAACUCCAUGUGUAGCGGUGAAAUGCGUAGAUAUAUGGCAGAACCCCAGUGGCGAACGCGGCUCUCUGGUCUGUAACUGACGCUGAGGUUCGACAGCGUGGGUAGCAAACAGGAUUAGAUACCCUGGUAGUC
RNAcentral lists this ribosomal RNA (465 nucleotides) under uncultured bacterium. Its description in RNAcentral is "partial 16S ribosomal RNA". It matches the Rfam family "Bacterial small subunit ribosomal RNA", at positions 338 to 795 of the family's 1533-position model. The record is from RNAcentral.